AGAGAAUAAAAGAUAUAUUAUUUUAAGGAUCUUAAACUAAUACUUAAUGAGAUAAAAGGGAUAAAGAAUAUCCGAUCUUAUCAUGAAAAUGAGGUUAAGAAAGAUAGUGAAGUGAAACAUCUGAGUAGCUAUUAAUAAAAGAAACCAACAGGGAUUAUAUAAGUAACGGUGAGUGAAAGUAUAAAAGUCUGAAAGUAAUAUUAAAAAGUAUGAAAAGAGUAGUGUCUACUACUAAGACUAAAUAUAAGUAUUAAGUGGAAAGUACCGUGAGGGAAAGAGAGAAAAUAGAGUAAUAAAGAGCAGUUAUAGUAUAACGUACCUCUUGUAUAAUGGGCCAGUGAGUUAUAUACAUUAGCGAAAUAAAUAAAUUAUAAAUAAAUUAAGUUGUAACAAUCUUAAGUUAAUGUGUAUAGGCCCGAAAGCAAACGAUCUACACACUUCCAAGAAUAUAAAAUAUAUAUUUUAUAUGUCUGAAUAGGUAGAUGUUGCAAUAUCUUCUAAAGAGGAGUGUGUUGUAGUGAAAGGCAAAUCUGGUUUGCAGAUAGCUGGUUUUCUGCGAAAUAUAUAUUAGUAUAGCCUUUACUUCAAUUAUUAACUGGUACAGCACUUAAUUCUUUAUGGGGGAUUAUAUUCUAAUUUUACCAUAAGUAUUAAACCUCGGAAACAGUAAACCAUUAAGUAAGGAGUCAGACUUAUUGCGAUAAGGUAGUAAGUCUAAUAGGAAACAACCUAGACUAUUUAAAUGUAUGUCCCUAAGUAUAUAUUAAGUGAACAUAAUCUUUGUUUUUAUAUUUUAUUAAAUAAAAUAUAGUGAAUCAUAUUUAUAUAAAUAUAAAUAUGUACGUAAGACAAUCAGUCAGCGGGUUUGACAAUAAUCAUCUGUUAAUGGACAUGUAACAAUGCACUGAUUUGACAUUUAACUUAGAGAAAAUAUACGGGUCUAAAUAUAUGACAGUAAUAAUAGAUAUAACUUAUAAUAAUAAGUUAUAUGGUAGCAGAAUAUAUAAUGAAAAUAAAUUAAAUAAAUAAAAUUAUAUAGAAUAUGCUGGCUUGAGUAACGAAAGGUAAUAAAAAAUUACCCUCUAAAUUCAUAAGGUUUUACAAUAAACGAACGGUCCCUAAGAUAAAGUAUACAGAAAUGUAAAUAUUGAUGGGUGUUAAUACAAGAAAAUUAAAUGAACCGUACUGUAAACCGACACAGGUAUGAAAUAAAAGAGAAUGAGAUAACUAUGGUGAAUGAACUCGGCAAAUUAACAUAAAGUUUUUAGUCGUGCGACUGUUUACCAAAAACACAGCUUAUUGCGUUUUAGUAAUAAUAAGUAUAAUAAGUGAUAUCUGCCCGGUGUUUGCUUUAUAAUUUAAAUAUAUUUUUUGUAUAUUUUUAUAAAUAGCUUAUUAACGGCGGUCUUAUUGUGAGGAUCCGAAGGUAGCGAAAUUCAUUGACGCAUAAUUGGUGUCCCGCAUGAAUGAAUACACGAUGCGACAACUGUAUCCAUCAUAGUCUCAGUGAAAUAGCAUUCGCGGUGAAGAUGCCGUGUUGCCGUAGAUUGACGAAAAGACCCUAUGCAGCUUUACUAUAUCCUUUCUUUGAUUUUAUAUAUAUAAUAUAUAUAUAAUAUUUUAUUCUUUAUUAUUUCAGUAUAUUAGGUUUUUAAUUCUUAUACAAAUGAGAUACCUAUAUUUUAAAUUAUAAUAUCUUAUCUUUCUUUCUUAUUUAUUAUAUAUAUAUAACUUACAUAAGUUAUAUAUUAAAUAAGAUAAAUUGAGACAGAGAAUGGUGGUUAGUUUCGAUGGGGCGUCGACAUCAGCGAAAGCAUCUGAUGUGUCUAUCUAAUAAUUUAUACUUUAGACUUAGUCUGAUGUAUAAAUAAAUAUUUAUAUAUUUAUAUAUAUAAUAGUAAACCAACGUACAAUGAUUCUAUAUGGCAAAUAGAUAAUAAUGUAAGGAUAACAACAUAAUUGUGCGAUGAUAAUAACACUAACAAGUGGAAUUAGUACUUAAGUAGAGUGUAGUGAACAGGCAUAAUCUAUAGAUAAGGAUGUCGAUAACGGAUUAAAGUUACGCUAGGGAUAACAGGGUAAUACCGCGUGAGAGUUGAUAUCGUCAGCGGUGUUUGCCACCUCGAUGUCGUCUAGACUCGUCCUCCUGGUCGCAGCAGCUAGGUAGGGUAGGACUGUUCGUCCUCUAAGGAGUUACUUGAGAUGGGUUAAUUACGACGUGAGUCAGUAAUGAUUCUAUCAUCUAUGGCUAUUUCUCUUAUUCGUU
Molecule: ribosomal RNA, 2266 nt
Filed under: Drosophila guanche
Lineage: Eukaryota; Metazoa; Arthropoda; Insecta; Diptera; Drosophilidae
Description: LSU_rRNA_archaea
Rfam family: Bacterial large subunit ribosomal RNA
Source: RNAcentral